RNAcentral lists this ribosomal RNA (520 nucleotides) under Ocinebrina cf. edwardsii BAU1298.6. RNAcentral describes it as "eukaryotic LSU rRNA". The stretch from base 1 to 106 matches the Rfam family "5.8S ribosomal RNA", at positions 49 to 154 of the family's 154-position model. The record is from RNAcentral. Lineage: Eukaryota; Metazoa; Mollusca; Gastropoda; Neogastropoda; Muricidae.
CCAGAUGCGUGAAAUAAUGUGAAUUGCAGGACACAUUGAACAUCGACACUUUGAACGCAUAUUGCGGCCAAGGGUCCGUCCUUUGGCCACGCCCGUCUGAGGGUCGGCGAAGUUCUACCCAUCGCCGGAGGCUCUUUCCGGUGCGUUGAGCUCGCGUAGCAGCUGCUCCGCGUCUCCAAGUGCAGACCCGGUCCUUCCGCCGUGCGGCUCGUUUCGAGACGCCGGGAAGGCCGACCUGGAAAUGACCGACCGCUUUUCUUUUUUAUUUUUCCUUGUCUCUCUCUCUCUCUCUCUCUCUCUCAGGGGGUGUGGUGGUGAGGAAGGAAAAAGGAAAAGAAAAAAAGGUGCCCGUCCUCCUGUCGUGGGGCAUGAAGGACAUGGCUCGGAUCAACGCCCUCUCGGGGGCCGGCAUGCCUUCGCGCCACCUCCGGCACCUUUUUCUCGAUGAAUAGCGGAUCGAGCGUCUCUCAUUUCCGACCUCAGAUCGGACGAGAUUACCCGCUGAAUUUAAGCAUAUCAC